Molecule: ribosomal RNA, 99 nt
Filed under: Arthrobacter sp. ok362
Lineage: Bacteria; Bacillati; Actinomycetota; Actinomycetes; Micrococcales; Micrococcaceae
Description: 16S rRNA. Bacterial SSU
Rfam family: Bacterial small subunit ribosomal RNA
Source: RNAcentral
CUUCAACGGAGAGUUUGAUCCUGGCUCAGGAUGAACGCUGGCGGCGUGCUUAACACAUGCAAGUCGAACGAUGACCCGGUGCUUGCACCGGUGAUUAGU